Molecule: ribosomal RNA, 489 nt
Filed under: uncultured bacterium
Lineage: Bacteria
Description: bacterial SSU rRNA
Rfam family: Bacterial small subunit ribosomal RNA
Source: RNAcentral
CUCAAGAAUUGGCGGAGGGGCGCACAAGCGGUGGAUUAUGUGUUUAAUUCGAUGAUACGCGAGGAACCUUACCAAGACUUAAAUGGGAAAUGACAGAUUUAGAAAUAGAUCCUUCUUCGGACAUUUUUCAAGGUGCUGCAUGGUUGUCGUCAGCUCGUGCCGUGAGGUGUUAGGUUAAGUCCUGCAACGAGCGCAACCCCUGUCACUAGUUGCUAGCAUUAAGUUGAGGACUCUAGUGAGACUGCCUACGCAAGUAGAGAGGAAGGUGGGGAUGACGUCAAAUCAUCACGGCCCUUACGUCUUGGGCCACACACGUAAUACAAUGGCCGGUACAGAGGGCAGCUACACAGCGAUGUGAUGCAAAUCUCGAAAGCCGGUCUCAGUUCGGAUUGGAGUCUGCAACUCGACUCUAUGAAGCCGGAAUCGCUAGUAAUCGCGCAUCAGCCAUGGCGCGGUGAAUACGUUCCCGGCCUUUGCACACACCGCCCG